Brachypodium distachyon (stiff brome) is the source of this 2728-nucleotide long non-coding RNA. RefSeq lists it as uncharacterized. The transcript has 2 exons. The record is from RefSeq and is a predicted model, not a curated record. Lineage: Eukaryota; Viridiplantae; Streptophyta; Magnoliopsida; Poales; Poaceae.
GAGUGGCCGCCUCCCUUGCCGCCGCCGCAUCUCCCGCCGCCUGCUGGCCUCUUCCCCGCCUCCCGCAUCCCUCGCCGAGAAACGCGCAGACGCACCUCUCCGCCACUCGGACGCAGCGGCUACCUCCGAUCGAGUUCUAAGGCGCGGCGGCCACCGCCGUUCUUGAUUUGUUUUGCGAGUUCAGCGAUGGCCAUCGUCUCCAACUAUUCAUGCCGGCGUUUCCCCAAGAUCGCGGCAAGAGCAACUACCAUUUCCAAAGCCGAGAAACGCGCUAGAGAUAUUUUAACUCCUAUAAAAGAGGCAUUUGGUGGCGGUCCUAGGUCGCGCACGUCUCUCCUUCUGUCCGUGGGACCUGCUUUACUGUUCCAACUUCCCGCAAGGUGUCUGUCCUUUCACGGUUCCACCCCCGUCAAGGUAGCAGCCGACCCGCGGAGACGACGCAGCGUGGGUUCUCGGGGCUAGCAUCCCAGCGAUUGACCCCGCCGGCGCUGCUGCCUCCUGCCACCGGCGCGAGAUCUCACCUCCUUUCUCCGCCGGUGCUACUCCCUUGCGCAAGGCCUCCCUCUCCUCCCUUCCUAGCUCGGUCAAGGCCUCCCUCUCCUCCCUUCCUAGCUCGGUCAAGGCCCCCCGAGCGCAAGGUGACCGGCGGUGGCCGCCGGCCCACAGAGCCAACGACGACGGCAAAACAAGGCGACCCGGCGGCCCCGCCCAUGCGAGAUCUCGCGGGAGUCGCCCUCAAAUUCAAUCCCGUCAGUUUCUUCAAUCCUUAAAUUCGUCGGUUUCUCCAAUCCUGUUGAAUUCAACCGCCGGUUAUAAUUGAAGAAUGAACUGGCUGAUAGCAUCAGAUUUUUGUUGAUGAUAUGCAAGAGAGUUUCCCGCGGUUUCAUCCCCGCGGCGCCGACGACCUCCCGCAGCGUCGAGAGCCUCAGACGAUGGCGCGUACGAUGAGCAGUUCCUCGAGCGGGAGAUGAUUGAGGCAAGCGGCUCGAGUUUUGGCGCGACAGAGGAGGACGGCGACGACGCUGGGGUGAACACGAAGGCGGACCACUUCAUAUUGGAUACAGUUCGUAUGGAUCGCCGUGAUUGGAUACAGUUCGUAUGUUUCUUAUGCCUCCUGUACAAGCAUGUGCAAGCUCGAUCAUCGAAUUAGUAUGUGUCUCCCGUGGCUUCCAUUCCCGUCAAGGUUUCGUAUGAUUGGGUAAUUAUAGCACAUGAUAGUAAUGCUUAUUUUGAACUGGUAAGGCAUUCAAAGUGAAAUCCUUUAUUUUAGUACUUCACUUUGAAUACCUUGCAUUCUGUAGUAUCAUUUACAUGCUGGUAAAAAGUCGUUUUAAGUUUCUGCUUUACAAAGCAUAGAAAUGAGAAUUUUAUUACUCCCUCCGAUCCAUAUUAAUUGUCUCAAAUUUUUCCAAAUAUGAAUAUAUCUAUGCCUAAAAAGUGUCUAGAUACAUAUAAUAUUUUGACAAGUAAUAUGGAUCGGAGGGACUAUUUCUGUAGCCACAUAUCAGUAUAUAUAUUUUGGCAUAUAAUCUCAUUCUGAAUUUUGGUUAGUAAAAUUUAUAUGUGCAUUCUUGAAUAUGUGUCAUCAAAGGGUUCGUAACAGAGCGAAAUCAAAUACUCCCUCCGGCCAGAACUUGUCACUAAUUUAGUACAACUUUGUACUAAAUCUGAGACAAGUAAUAUGGGUCGGAGGGAGUAGCAGUAUUUGGGCGAGCCCUCACUAAUCACCACCAAUUCGUAAUAAAACGAAGUCAAAUAGCAGUAUUUGGUCACAUAUUAUCCAUCAGUAUGUUGGUUCUCAUUAACUUUGUAUGCAGGAAGGUCUGAUUUUUCGAUUUGUCACUGAUUUCGUUCAUUAAUGUAUUGAACUUAGCUUUUCCACUUGAAUAAAAUUGGAUAACCACUUCAAUUUUAAUGAGGAAAUAACGUUGGCGAUCCCUGAACUUGGUUGUGGUGUUCACUUUAGUCCUUAAACUCACCGAAACGGCAGCGCGGUCACUAAACUUGGCCAUUUCGAAUCACCUGAAGUCUAACUGUGGGUUUCGGUCGUUAACCCUGGGUUAGGUCGCCACAUGGUGCUGAUGUGUCCAUGAUGGGACACACCCGAGGGGCCUAGAUGAAAGAUCGCCAUCGCCAGUUCAGAAGAAAAAAACUCAACUUCGUUUUUCUACAACUUCCAGAGCCCCCCACUUGAAUCACACAAGGUCCAACUAUGGGUUUCGUUCGUUAACCCUGAGCUUUUGCGAACUGGCGGUGGCAAAUUUUCAUUCAGGCCCCUCGGGUGUGUCCCAUCAUGGACACGUCACCGCCAUGUGGCGAGCUAACCCAUGGUUAAUGACGGAAACCCACAUUCGGACCUCGGGUGACUUCAGAUUGCCAAGUUUGGUGACCGCGGUGCUGUUUUUGCGAGUUUAAGUACUAAAGUGAACACCACUGCCAAGAUCGCUUUAUACGACAAUUGCAAGGAGGACGUGGUUGCAGAACUAGCUAGAGCAGAAUUGGUUCUGCAAUGGAUGAUAGCUUUCGCAUGGCGGCAUGACAUGAUGACAAAUAAUUUUCAAGUUUUGCCUUAGACUACGAAUUUUAUUUAUAAGUGUACUUUGCAACUGUAGCAAAGCAAGAAGACAUUAGUUUUCUCCUACAGGAGGAUCUGUUAUGGAUGUGUUUCCUUUCUACACAAGGGAAUGGACUUUUUAUGUCAAGCACUAAUCUAUUCGUCUUGUUAAUA